RNAcentral lists this ribosomal RNA (253 nucleotides) under uncultured bacterium. RNAcentral describes it as "partial 16S ribosomal RNA". It matches the Rfam family "Bacterial small subunit ribosomal RNA", at positions 524 to 776 of the family's 1533-position model. The record is from RNAcentral.
UACGUAGGGUGCAAGCGUUAAUCGGAAUUACUGGGUUUAAAGGGUGCGUAGGCGGCUGAUUAAGUCAGUGGUGAAAGUUUUGGGCUUAACCCAGAAAUUGCCAUUGAUACUGGUCGGCUUGAGUAUUGGAGGGGUACAUGGAAUUGAUGGUGUAGCGGUGAAAUGCAUAGAUACCAGCAGGAACACCGAUAGCGAAGGCAUUGUACUGGCCAAUAACUGACGCUGAUGCGCGAAAGCAUGGGUAGCGAACAGG